CAGUAGCCGCGGUAAUACGAGGGAUCCUAGCGUUGUUCGGAAUCAUUGGGCGUAAAGGGUGUGUAGGCGGCCAUGUAAGUCAGUUGUGAAAGCCCCGGGCUCAACCCGGGAAGUGCUUCUGAUACUGCUUGGCUUGAGUAUUGGAUAGGUGAGUGGAAUUCCAGGUGUAGUGGUGAAAUACGUAGAUAUCUGGAGGAACACCGGCGGCGAAGGCGGCUCACUGGCCAUAUACUGACGCUGAAACACGAAAGCGUGGGUAGCAAACAGGAUUAGAUACCCCUGUAGUCCCUGUCUCUUAUAC
RNAcentral lists this ribosomal RNA (301 nucleotides) under uncultured bacterium. Its description in RNAcentral is "partial 16S ribosomal RNA". It matches the Rfam family "Bacterial small subunit ribosomal RNA", at positions 509 to 807 of the family's 1533-position model. The record is from RNAcentral.